CUGUUGACGCAACAUAAAAAAGCAGGGAAGCAGCGCUGCUCGACGGUAGACUGCAUGCAGUGAAUGCCGUGAGGAAGAUAUCCAUAGAUUAUGGCUUCAGCUUGUUUUGAGGCUGUGCAUCCUCACGAUCCCUGGCCCAUCUCAUCACUAACUGAAGAAAUCAGUGUCCACUGCGGCAAGAUGUGCACAAGCCUCAUUCCUGUUACAGGAACAGCUUCAAAGUUCAAGAUUCAAAUUUCAAGAUCCACCUUCACUCUCAUAUGCGUUGCAUGUUUGAUACCAACCUUCUUUUACCUUUACCUUUUUUAUCUUUUUGAAUUAAACUGCCUUCUACCUUC
Micropterus dolomieu (smallmouth bass) is the source of this 338-nucleotide long non-coding RNA. RefSeq lists it as uncharacterized. NCBI's taxonomy places the organism in Eukaryota, Metazoa, Chordata, Actinopteri, Centrarchiformes, Centrarchidae. The transcript has 4 exons. The record is from RefSeq and is a predicted model, not a curated record.